CACACCAUGGGAGCGGGGUGCACCAGAAGUAGGUAGGCUAACCGCAAGGGGGCCGCCUACCACGGUGCGCUUCGUGACUGGGGUGAAGUCGUAACAAGGUACC
Molecule: ribosomal RNA, 103 nt
Filed under: uncultured bacterium
Lineage: Bacteria
Description: partial 16S ribosomal RNA
Rfam family: Bacterial small subunit ribosomal RNA
Source: RNAcentral